CUCAUGAUGAACGCUAGCUACAGGCUUAACACAUGCAAGUCGAGGGGCAGCAUUUUAGUUUGCUUGCAAACUGAAGAUGGCGACCGGCGCACGGGUGAGUAACACGUAUCCAACCUGCCGAUAACUCCGGGAUAGCCUUUCGAAAGAAAGAUUAAUACCGGAUAGCAUACGAAUAUCGCAUGAUAUUUUUAUUAAAGAAUUUCGGUUAUCGAUGGGGAUGCGUUCCAUUAGUUUGUUGGCGGGGUAACGGCCCACCAAGACUACGAUGGAUAGGGGUUCUGAGAGGAAGGUCCCCCACAUUGGAACUGAGACACGGUCCAAACUCCUACGGGAGGCAGCAGUGAGGAAUAUUGGUCAAUGGGCGCGAGCCUGAACCAGCCAAGUAGCGUGAAGGAUGAAGGCUCUAUGGGUCGUAAACUUCUUUUAUAUGGGAAUAAAGUUUUCCACGUGUGGAAUUUUGUAUGUACCAUAUGAAUAAGGAUCGGCUAACUCCGUGCCAGCAGCCGCGGUAAUACGGAGGAUCCGAGCGUUAUCCGGAUUUAUUGGGUUUAAAGGGAGCGUAGGUGGAUUGUUAAGUCAGUUGUGAAAGUUUGCGGCUCAACCGUAAAAUUGCAGUUGAAACUGGCAGUCUUGAGUACAGUAGAGGUGGGCGGAAUUCGUGGUGUAGCGGUGAAAUGCUUAGAUAUCACGAAGAACUCCGAUUGCGAAGGCAGCUCACUAGACUGUCACUGACACUGAUGCUCGAAAGUGUGGGUAUCAAACAGGAUUAGAUACCCUGGUAGUCCACACAGUAAACGAUGAAUACUCGCUGUUUGCGAUAUACAGUAAGCGGCCAAGCGAAAGCAUUAAGUAUUCCACCUGGGGAGUACGCCGGCAACGGUGAAACUCAAAGGAAUUGACGGGGGCCCGCACAAGCGGAGGAACAUGUGGUUUAAUUCGAUGAUACGCGAGGAACCUUACCCGGGCUUAAAUUGCAACAGAAUAUAUUGGAAACAGUAUAGCCGUAAGGCUGUUGUGAAGGUGCUGCAUGGUUGUCGUCAGCUCGUGCCGUGAGGUGUCGGCUUAAGUGCCAUAACGAGCGCAACCCUUAUCUUUAGUUACUAACAGGUCAUGCUGAGGACUCUAGAGAGACUGCCGUCGUAAGAUGUGAGGAAGGUGGGGAUGACGUCAAAUCAGCACGGCCCCUACGUCCGGGGCUACACACGUGUUACAAUGGGGGGUACAGAAGGCGGCUACCUGGUGACAGGAUGCUAAUCCCAAAAACCUCUCUCAGUUCGGAUCGAAGUCUGCAACCCGACUUCGUGAAGCUGGAUUCGCUAGUAAUCGCGCAUCAGCCAUGGCGCGGUGAAUACGUUCCCGGGCCUUGUACACACCGCCCGUCAAGCCAUGAAAGCCGGGGGUACCUGAAGUACGUAACCGCAAGGAGCGUCCUAGGGUA
This 1438-nucleotide ribosomal RNA is filed under the name uncultured organism. RNAcentral describes it as "SSU rRNA". It matches the Rfam family "Bacterial small subunit ribosomal RNA". The record is from RNAcentral.